This is a long non-coding RNA of Gavia stellata (red-throated loon), 312 nucleotides long. RefSeq lists it as uncharacterized. The record is from RefSeq and is a predicted model, not a curated record. NCBI's taxonomy places the organism in Eukaryota, Metazoa, Chordata, Aves, Gaviiformes, Gaviidae. The transcript has 2 exons.
AGGUUUUACGCCCACUCCCCGAAACAGCUUUCACGCCACAAGAGAACGGAGGAGCAAAAAGAGGUAAUGCAUGAGCCUUGCCCACUUCACUGGACUCUCCGAAGACCCGGUGUACGGUCCCCGCCAGGCUUACCAAUUCCCGCUGUAACAGCAGUCAGCCUACCGUGCGAGCGAGGACCAAGUCAGCGUCACCAAAGCAGUGCCGUGCUGCGCCAGCUCCGCGACUGGCAAUUCUCAGACACCUUUAAUGAUGAGUAUGUCAUUUCUCUGAAGCCACCAUCUUUUCCAGUAAACACUUUUUCCUAACUGUCA